UACGUAGGGUGCGAGCGUUGCCCGGAUUUAUUGGGCGUAAAGGGCGCGUAGGCGGCCACGCACGUCCGUUGUGAAAUCGCCCGGCUCAACUGGGCGGGGUCAGCGGAUACGGUGUGGCUCGAGCAAGCUAGGGGGCAAUGGAAUUCCCGGUGUAGUGGUGGAAUGCGUAGAUAUCUGGAGGAACACCGGUGGCGAAGGCGGCAUCCUGGACCACGACUGACGCUGAGGAGCGAAAGCCAGGGGAGCAAACGGG
Molecule: ribosomal RNA, 253 nt
Filed under: uncultured bacterium
Lineage: Bacteria
Description: partial 16S ribosomal RNA
Rfam family: Bacterial small subunit ribosomal RNA
Source: RNAcentral